This 305-nucleotide ribosomal RNA is filed under the name uncultured bacterium. Its description in RNAcentral is "bacterial SSU rRNA". It matches the Rfam family "Bacterial small subunit ribosomal RNA", at positions 335 to 639 of the family's 1533-position model. The record is from RNAcentral.
UACCUACGGGAGGCAGCAGUGAGGAAUAUUGGUCAAUGGCCGGAAGGCUGAACCAGCCAAGCCGCGUGAAGGACGACGGCCCUACGGGUUGUAAACCUCUUUUGCCGGGGGACAAACGGCGGCACGCGUGCCGUCCUGAGGGUACCCGGAGAAAAAGCAUCGGCUAACUCCGUGCCAGCAGCCGCGGUAAUACGGAGGAUGCGAGCGUUAUCCGGAUUUAUUGGGUUUAAAGGGUGCGUAGGCGGGAUGCCAAGUCAGCGGUCAAAUACGGGGGCUCAACCUGCGUCCGCCGUUGAAACUGGCGU